This 72-nucleotide transfer RNA is filed under the name Aeromonas phage Akh-2. Its description in RNAcentral is "tRNA-Ile". It matches the Rfam family "tRNA". From Rfam's summary of the family: Transfer RNA (tRNA) molecules are approximately 80 nucleotides in length. Their secondary structure includes four short double-helical elements and three loops (D, anti-codon, and T loops). Lineage: Duplodnaviria; Heunggongvirae; Uroviricota; Caudoviricetes; Demerecviridae. The record is from RNAcentral.
AGUGUGUUAGCUCAAUGGUGGAGCAGUCUCUUGAUAAGGGAAAGGUUACUGGUUCGAGCCCAGUACGCACUA